GAUGAACGCUGGCGGCGUGCUUAACACAUGCAAGUCGAACGAAGCACUUUAUUUGAUUUCCUUCGGGACUGAUUAUUUUGUGACUGAGUGGCGGACGGGUGAGUAACGCGUGGGUAACCUGCCUUGUACAGGGGGAUAACAGUUGGAAACGGCUGCUAAUACCGCAUAAGCGCACAGCAUCGCAUGAUGCAGUGUGAAAAACUCCGGUGGUAUAAGAUGGACCCGCGUUGGAUUAGCUAGUUGGUGAGGUGACGGCCCACCAAGGCGACGAUCCAUAGCCGACCUGAGAGGGUGACCGGCCACAUUGGGACUGAGACACGGCCCAAACUCCUACGGGAGGCAGCAGUGGGGAAUAUUGCACAAUGGGCGAAAGCCUGAUGCAGCGACGCCGCGUGAGCGAAGAAGUAUUUCGGUAUGUAAAGCUCUAUCAGCAGGGAAGAUAAUGACGGUAC
RNAcentral lists this ribosomal RNA (452 nucleotides) under uncultured bacterium. RNAcentral describes it as "bacterial SSU rRNA". It matches the Rfam family "Bacterial small subunit ribosomal RNA", at positions 28 to 478 of the family's 1533-position model. The record is from RNAcentral.